Molecule: ribosomal RNA, 499 nt
Filed under: uncultured bacterium
Lineage: Bacteria
Description: partial 16S ribosomal RNA
Rfam family: Bacterial small subunit ribosomal RNA
Source: RNAcentral
GAUGAACGCUGGCGGCGUGCCUAAUACAUGCCAGUCGAGCGAACAGACGAGAGUGCUUGCACUCUCUGACGUUAGCGGCGGACGGGUGAGUAACACGUGGGUAACCUACCUAUAAGACUGGGAUAACUUCGGGAAACCGGAGCUAAUACCGGAUAAUAUUUAGCUUCGCAUGAAGCAAUAGUGAAAGACGGUUCUGCUGUCACUUAUAGAUGGACCCGCGGUGUAUUAGCUGGUUGGUGAGGUAACGGCUCACCAAGGCAACGAUACAUAGCCGACCUGAGAGGGUGAUCGGCCACACUGGGACUGAGACACGGCCCAGACUCCUACGGGAGGCAGCAGUAGGGAAUCUUCCGCAAUGGACGAAAGUCUGACGGAGCAAUGCCGCGUGAGUGAAGAAGGUUUUCGGAUCGUAAAACUCUGUUGUAAGGGAAGAACAAGUACGUUAGUAACUGAACGUACCUUGACGGUACCUUACCAGAAAGCCACGGCUAACUACGUG